This 490-nucleotide ribosomal RNA is filed under the name uncultured bacterium. RNAcentral describes it as "partial 16S ribosomal RNA". It matches the Rfam family "Bacterial small subunit ribosomal RNA", at positions 28 to 507 of the family's 1533-position model. The record is from RNAcentral.
GAUGAACGCUAGCUACAUGCUUAACACAUGCAAGUCGAGGGGCAGCAUGGUCUUAGCUUGCUCAGGCCGAUGUCGACCGUCGCACGGUUGAGUAACACUUAUCCAACCUGCCGUCUACUCUUGGACAGCCUUCUGAAAGGCAUAUUAAUACAAAAUGGCCUCAUUAGUUCACAUGUUCACAUGAUUAAAGGUAUUCCGGUAGACGAUGGGGAUGAGUUCCAUUGGAUAGUAGGCGGUGUAACGGCCCACCUAGUCUUGGAUGGAUAGGCGUUCUGGAAGGAAGGUCGCCCACAUGGGAACUGAAACAGCGUCCAAACGACUAAGGGAGGAAGCAGUGAGGAAUAUGGGGCAAUGGGCGAGAGCAUGAAACAGCCAAGUAGAGUGAAGGAUGACUGCGCUACGGGUUGUAAAAUUCUUUUAGAAAGGAAUAAAGUCGGGUCUGUAGACCAGAUUGAAUGUACUUUAUGAAUAAGGAUCGGCUAACUCCGUG